GGGAAUGUGGCUUAGUGGUAGAGUGUUUGCCUAGCGUGCAUGAAGUCCGGGUUCGAUUCCUCAGUACCA
Molecule: transfer RNA, 69 nt
Filed under: Dipodomys ordii (Ord's kangaroo rat)
Lineage: Eukaryota; Metazoa; Chordata; Mammalia; Rodentia; Heteromyidae
Rfam family: tRNA
About the family: Transfer RNA (tRNA) molecules are approximately 80 nucleotides in length. Their secondary structure includes four short double-helical elements and three loops (D, anti-codon, and T loops).
Source: Rfam by way of RNAcentral